RNAcentral lists this unclassified non-coding RNA (358 nucleotides) under uncultured Lactarius. Its description in RNAcentral is "sequence contains ITS2". The record is from RNAcentral. Lineage: Eukaryota; Fungi; Basidiomycota; Agaricomycetes; Russulales; Russulaceae.
AACGCACCUUGCGCCCCUUGGUAUUCCGAGGGGCACACCCGUUUGAGUGUCGUGAAAAUCUCAACCUUCUCGGUUUUCUUCUGGACACCGAAGGAGGCUUGGACUUUGGAGGCCUUUGCUGGCAUCUCUCUCUUCUUGAGAGCCAGCUCCUCUUAAACGAAUUAGCGGGGUCCUCUUUGCCGAUCCUCGACAUGUGAUAAGAUGUUUCCAUGACUUGGUUUCUGGCUCUGUUGCCUUUGGGACCCGCUUCUAACCGUCUCGACGAGACGACGUUUGGGCGCGUCUCCCUUCUCGGGAGACACUCUCAACCCCACGAACCCUUGACCUCAAAUCGGGUGAGACUACCCGCUGAACUUAA